AUUCAGCUGAUGAGUCUUAAAUAGGACGAAACGUACAUUCUGGAU
Molecule: non-coding RNA, 45 nt
Organism: Schistosoma rodhaini
Lineage: Eukaryota; Metazoa; Platyhelminthes; Trematoda; Strigeidida; Schistosomatidae
Source: Rfam